Molecule: transfer RNA, 73 nt
Filed under: Ovis aries (sheep)
Lineage: Eukaryota; Metazoa; Chordata; Mammalia; Artiodactyla; Bovidae
Rfam family: tRNA
About the family: Transfer RNA (tRNA) molecules are approximately 80 nucleotides in length. Their secondary structure includes four short double-helical elements and three loops (D, anti-codon, and T loops). Further hydrogen bonds mediate the characteristic L-shaped molecular structure. tRNAs have two regions of fundamental functional importance: the anti-codon, which is responsible for specific mRNA codon recognition, and the 3' end, to which the tRNAs corresponding amino acid is attached (by aminoacyl-tRNA synthetases). tRNAs cope with the degeneracy of the genetic code in two manners: having more than one tRNA (with a specific anti-codon) for a particular amino acid; and 'wobble' base-pairing, i.e. permitting non-standard base-pairing at the 3rd anti-codon position.
Source: Rfam by way of RNAcentral
UCCCUGAUAGUUUAGUGGCUAAGACUCUGAGCUCCCAGUACAGUGGGCCUGGGUUCAAUUCCUGGUCAGGGAA